This is a non-coding RNA of Misgurnus anguillicaudatus (oriental weatherfish), 900 nucleotides long. The record is from RefSeq and is a predicted model, not a curated record. Lineage: Eukaryota; Metazoa; Chordata; Actinopteri; Cypriniformes; Cobitidae.
UUUAUCUGUCAAGUUUCUUCACAUUCGACUAGUUCCUUUUCUUGUUCACCUUAAGUGAACUGUGUGUGUUUCUUUUAAAAAGAACUAGGCUAUGUGAACCACAGUGUUGUUUGUGCCUACAUUUACAAGGAAAGUGGUCAGUAAAACCACUUGCUUGUAAACGUGGGCUUAAACAACGAGUAAAGUAAAACAUUAAUUUAGUCCACUCUGUUAAAACAGUGCCAUAACAAAGAUGUUAAAAAGAGCAGUAUCAAACUAUUGCAUGAGCAUGUCGCAGGAAAGCAAGUCUGUUUUGCAUUGGAUGUUGGUUUUGCAUUGGAUGUUGGUGUGUCUUUGUUUUUGAAACUUGUCUGUGUUGCAGGCCCUUUGUUGCGAGUACUCGUGUCUGUCUUUGCCCCAAUUUACUAGACGACCAUCUAUCAAUCACCAGAGACACAAAAUGGUUACUUUCUUACACAAGGGCAAGAUCUUGAAGUUGACCCAUGUGGCCAGAGGUCUGGAUGCAGAAGGGGCUUUAUUGGUGGACAUUGUUAUUAACGGCUUUGUUCCUCCAACGCUGGUCGCUUCUAAUCUCAACCUACAGGUGAUUGAUGAGUCAUAUGUACAGACGGGCUCCGGGCAGCUUUAUUCCUGGUCUUCCCAGACAAGAUAUUAACGAAUGCACCCAAGGCUCCAACUUGUGUCAUUCCAACCAGCAGUAUGUGAACACUGUGGGGACGUAUUGCAGUCAAGCCAAGUGAGGACCGGGCUUUAAACCCAGUGUGGUGGGCACCAGCUGUGAAGCUUACUUUGCCAUAUUAUUAAAAAAGACGUUUGGAUUUUAGAAAAACUUUAGCCCUGGGAACAAUCCUACUGAUAUUGGACCAGUCAUUGAUUAAAUUUGGAACAUUUUAUAAACAA